This 1356-nucleotide ribosomal RNA is filed under the name Cylindrospermopsis raciborskii PMC61.01. RNAcentral's name for it is "bacterial SSU rRNA". It matches the Rfam family "Bacterial small subunit ribosomal RNA". The record is from RNAcentral. Lineage: Bacteria; Bacillati; Cyanobacteriota; Cyanophyceae; Nostocales; Aphanizomenonaceae.
AGUCGAACGGGAUGCUUAGGCAUCUAGUGGCGGACGGGUGAGUAACGCGUGAGAAUCUGGCUCCAGGUCGGGGAUAACAGUUGGAAACGACUGCUAAUACCGGAUGUGCCGAGAGGUGAAAGAUUUAUCGCCUGGAGAUGAGCUCGCGUCUGAUUAGCUAGUUGGCGGUGUAAGGGACCACCAAGGCAUCGAUCAGUAGCUGGUCUGAGAGGAUGAUCAGCCACACUGGGACUGAGACACGGCCCAGACUCCUACGGGAGGCAGCAGUGGGGAAUUUUCCGCAAUGGGCGAAAGCCUGACGGAGCAAUACCGCGUGAGGGAGGAAGGCUCUUGGGUCGUAAACCUCUUUUCUCAAGGAAGAAGAAAGUGACGGUACUUGAGGAAUAAGCAUCGGCUAACUCCGUGCCAGCAGCCGCGGUAAUACGGAGGAUGCAAGCGUUAUCCGGAAUGAUUGGGCGUAAAGGGUCUGCAGGUGGAACUGAAAGUCUGCUGUUAAAGAGUUUGGCUUAACCAAAUAAAAGCGGUGGAAACUACAGAACUAGAGUGCGGUAGGGGCAAAAGGAAUUCCUGGUGUAGCGGUGAAAUGCGUAGAUAUCAGGAAGAACACCGGUGGCGAAAGCGUUUUGCUAGACCGUAACUGACACUGAGGGACGAAAGCUAGGGGAGCGAAUGGGAUUAGAUACCCCAGUAGUCCUAGCCGUAAACGAUGGAUACUAGGCGUGGCUUGUAUCGACCCGAGCCGUGCCGGAGCUAACGCGUUAAGUAUCCCGCCUGGGGAGUACGCACGCAAGUGUGAAACUCAAAGGAAUUGACGGGGGCCCGCACAAGCGGUGGAGUAUGUGGUUUAAUUCGAUGCAACGCGAAGAACCUUACCAAGACUUGACAUCCUGCGAAUCCCGGUGAAAGCUGGGAGUGCCUUAGGGAGCGCAGAGACAGGUGGUGCAUGGCUGUCGUCAGCUCGUGUCGUGAGAUGUUGGGUUAAGUCCCGCAACGAGCGCAACCCUCGUUUUUAGUUGCCAGCAUUAAGUUGGGCACUCUAGAGAGACUGCCGGUGACAAACCGGAGGAAGGUGGGGAUGACGUCAAGUCAGCAUGCCCCUUACGUCUUGGGCUACACACGUACUACAAUGCUACGGACAGAGGGCAGCGAGCCAGGGAUGGCAAGCGAAUCCAGAAACCGUAGCUCAGUUCAGAUCGAAGGCUGCAACUCGCCUUCGUGAAGGAGGAAUCGCUAGUAAUUGCAGGUCAGCAUACUGCAGUGAAUUCGUUCCCGGGCCUUGUACACACCGCCCGUCACACCAUGGAAGUUGGUCACGCCCGAAGUCAUUACCCCAACCGAAAGGAGGGGGAUGCCUAA